This 430-nucleotide ribosomal RNA is filed under the name uncultured bacterium. Its description in RNAcentral is "partial 16S ribosomal RNA". It matches the Rfam family "Bacterial small subunit ribosomal RNA", at positions 338 to 795 of the family's 1533-position model. The record is from RNAcentral.
CCUACGGUGCUGCAGUGGGGAAUAUUGGACAAUGGGCGCAAGCCUGAUCCAGCCAUGCCGCGUGAGUGAUGAAGGCCUUAGGGUUGUAAAGCUCUUUCAGCGGGGAAGCGGUACCCGCAGAAGAAGCCCCGGCUAACUUCGUGCCAGCAGCCGCGGUAAUACGAAGGGGGCUAGCGUUGUUCGGAAUCACUGGGCGUAAAGCGCGUGUAGGCGGAUCGUUAAGUCGGGGGUGAAAUCCUGAGGCUCAACCUCAGAACUGCCUUCGAUACUGCGAUCUUAGAGUCCGGGAGAGGUGAGUGGAACUCCUAGUGUAGAGGUGAAAUUCGUAGAUAUUAGGAAGAACACCAGUGGCGAAGGCGGCUCACUGGCCCGGACUGACGCUGAUAUGCGAAAGCGUGGGGAGCAAACAGGAUUAGAUACCCUUGUAGUC